AGAGUUUGAUCAUGGCUCAGAAUCAACGCUGGCGGCGUGCCUAACACAUGCAAGUCGAACGCGAAAGGGGAGCAAUCCUGAUUAGAGUGGCAAACGGGUGAGUAACACGUGGGUGACCUGCCUUCGAGUGGGGGAUACCCUUCCGAAAGGAGGGCUAAUACCGCAUGACAUACCGUGUUUGGAUACAUGGAUAUCAAAGCCGGGGAUCGCAAGACCUGGCGCUUGAAGAGGGGCCCGCGUCCGAUUAGCUAGUUGGUGGGGUAACGGCUCACCAAGGCUCCGAUCGGUAUCCGGCCUGAGAGGGCGGACGGACACACUGGAACUGAGACACGGUCCAGACUCCUACGGGAGGCAGCAGUGGGGAAUUGUUCGCAAUGGGCGAAAGCCUGACGACGCAACGCCGCGUGGAGGAUGAAGAAUUUCGGUUCGUAAACUCCUUUCGACCGAGAUGAAUAUCCGCCGACUUAACACGUCGGCGGACUGACAGUAUCGAGAGAAGAAGCCCCGGCUAACUCUGUGCCAGCAGCCGCGGUAAUACAGGGGGGGCAAGCGUUGUUCGGAAUUACUGGGCGUAAAGGGUUCGUAGGUGGCCACUUAAGUCAGACGUGAAAUCCCUCAGCUUAACUGGGGAACUGCGUCUGAUACUGCGUGGCUUGAGUGCAGGAGAGGAAUGCGGAAUUCCAGGUGUAGCGGUGAAAUGCGUAGAUAUCUGGAGGAACACCGGUGGCGAAGGCGGCAUUCUGGACUGUAACUGACACUGAGGAACGAAAGCCAGGGGAGCAAACGGGAUUAGAUACCCCGGUAGUCCUGGCCCUAAACGAUGAAUGCUUGGUGUGGCGGGUAUCGAUCCCUGCCGUGCCGAAGUUAACGCGAUAAGCAUUCCGCCUGGGGAGUACGGUCGCAAGGCUUAAACUCAAAGGAAUUGACGG
Molecule: ribosomal RNA, 929 nt
Filed under: uncultured bacterium
Lineage: Bacteria
Description: bacterial SSU rRNA
Rfam family: Bacterial small subunit ribosomal RNA
Source: RNAcentral